UACGGAGGGUGCAAACGUUGCUCGGAAUCACUGGGCGUAAAGGGCGUGUAGGCGGGAAUGUAAGUCGGGCGUGAAAGCCCCAGGCUCAACCUGGGAACUGCACUCGAAACUGCGUUUCUUGAGUAUCGGAGAGGAAAGCGGAAUACCUGGUGUAGAGGUGAAAUUCGUAGAUAUCAGGUGGAACACCAGUGGCGAAGGCGGCUUUCUGGACGAUUACUGACGCUGAGACGCGAAAGCGUGGGGAGCAAACAGG
RNAcentral lists this ribosomal RNA (253 nucleotides) under uncultured bacterium. RNAcentral describes it as "partial 16S ribosomal RNA". It matches the Rfam family "Bacterial small subunit ribosomal RNA", at positions 524 to 776 of the family's 1533-position model. The record is from RNAcentral.